This 625-nucleotide long non-coding RNA is filed under the name Ananas comosus (pineapple). RNAcentral's name for it is "long non-coding RNA (ACOM_LNC034158)". The record is from RNAcentral. Lineage: Eukaryota; Viridiplantae; Streptophyta; Magnoliopsida; Poales; Bromeliaceae.
UUUACGUUCGAAAACUUAUUACUUUACAUUUCAAUUUAUUUCUAAAAAAAAUGAAACUAUUAUAUAUCUUUCUGUCUCUAAAAAAAACUUUCUUAAUUGCUGAAUUCAUCACAAAAAAAAAAUGGCCAAUACUAUAUAGCGUAGUUGGCCAAGAAUUUAAUGAUUGACAUAAUAGCCUAUUAUCUUUCUCUCUUUAUAAGAAAAACUCCCUUAAUUGCCGAAUUAAUCACAACAAGAAUUUAAUGAUUGAUAUAAUAGUCUAUUAUCUUUCUUUCUCUAAAAGAAACUCCCUUAAUUGCUGAAUUAAUCACGAAGAAAAACGACCAAUACUAGGUAACGCAGUUGGCAAGAAUUUAAUAAUUGAUAUUCGAUUUUUUUUUUGAGAUAGAAAGAUAGUAUAUUAUUAGUCUUGUUUAUAUUUUUUAGAAAUAAAUAUAGUUAAAAAUAAAAAGCAACAAGGUUUCGAACUUGGUACCUCGAGUAUCAACCACUAAGUUUUUUACCACUUGUGCCAGAGACGGCCAAUAUUAAUAUUUGAUAUUCUAAUUUCUAAAUUUAGUUAUUUCACAUUUCUUACUAAGUUCAUUAAAACAUAAACACAUUGUAUACUACUUUUAUCUCCCUA